This 143-nucleotide transfer RNA is filed under the name Luteimonas rhizosphaericola. RNAcentral's name for it is "tRNA-OTHER". Lineage: Bacteria; Pseudomonadati; Pseudomonadota; Gammaproteobacteria; Lysobacterales; Lysobacteraceae. The record is from RNAcentral.
GGCGGUGUACGCGCAGUUCGGCGGCGGUGGCGUGACCGCCUUCGUCAACGGCGGCGACGUGCUGCUGGUCGAAGGCCUGGGCAUGCCGGCCCAGCUGGGUUCGACGAUGCUCGCCACGAUGGCGAUCCUGUUCGCCGCCACCA